This 714-nucleotide long non-coding RNA is filed under the name Neogobius melanostomus (round goby). Its description in RNAcentral is "lncRNA (ENSNMLG00000008037.1)". Lineage: Eukaryota; Metazoa; Chordata; Actinopteri; Gobiiformes; Gobiidae. The record is from RNAcentral.
GUCAUGACGUCAAAUUGUGAUUGUGAGUAUGGCCUAAAUUUAAACAUACAUUAAAAAAGGUUAAACUAUGCAGCCACACCAGGGGCUUGCAGACUCAAAUUUGGGUGACAAUCUGCUCCAGAGCUGGGACUGAACUGGCGUCCUUCUGAUGUAACUUUUUUUUGGCUUCUUCUGAUUAUUAUUGUGACAUCAUGACUCACUGUUACACCUUGCUCUAAUCUGUAACUGACUGCCCUAUAAUUUCGGCAGGCUGUUUGCGUCCCCAUGCACAAUGAUCAGCACCGCACUGGAGCAGCAGAUCACCGCCCUCAGCCCUGAAAUUGGAUGUGCGGCUUGUCAUUACAAACUGGUAUCAGUGACUCCGACGGCAAUCUUGGCCAACCACACCUCAGCGGACGGACUUGCAACAGAAACUCUCAGCUUCAAAUUCACGUCCACUGUUCUGACCGGGAGUUGCAGCAUCAGUGCCCAGUCUCAAUCUCUCGACUUCUCCAGUUUGCUCGACAAUGGCCUCAACUACUGCAACCUCUACAAUCUCCUCGCAUUGAGUGGUCUCGCCGCUCAGCCGGACUUCAUGGAGAUGACCAAUGAGUGGGCCUGCCUCGGAUAUGGACUGGCAACGUGCAAAGUCUGAAGAGGUGGAAGGAGAAUGAAUGUGCACUUUAAAUGUGGUUACUCUUCAAGCUACAUAUGAAAAAUAAAAGAUCAAAUGAG